This 433-nucleotide ribosomal RNA is filed under the name uncultured bacterium. RNAcentral's name for it is "partial 16S ribosomal RNA". It matches the Rfam family "Bacterial small subunit ribosomal RNA", at positions 29 to 507 of the family's 1533-position model. The record is from RNAcentral.
AACGAACGCUGGCGGCAUGCCUAACACAUGCAAGUCGAACGAGACCUUCGGGUCUAGUGGCGCACGGGUGCGUAACGCGUGGGAACCUGCCCUUAGGUUCGGAAUAACUCCCAGAAAGGGGUGCUAAUACCGGAUAAUGUCUUCGGACCAAAGAUUUAUCGCCUUUGGAUGGGCCCGCGUUGGAUUAGCUAGUUGGUAGGGUAAAAGCCUACCAAGGCGACGAUCCAUAGCUGGUCUGAGAGGAUGAUCAGCCACACUGGGACUGAGACACGGCCCAGACUCCGACGGGAGGCAGCAGUGGGGAAUAUUGGACGAUGGGCGAAAGCCUGAUCCAGCAAUGCCGCGUGAGUGAUGAAGGCCUUAGGGUUGUAAAGCUCUUUUACCCGGGAUGAUAAUGACAGUACCGGGAGAAUAAGCUCCGGCUAACUCCGUG